RNAcentral lists this long non-coding RNA (2436 nucleotides) under Homo sapiens (human). Its description in RNAcentral is "HSALNT0382073". Lineage: Eukaryota; Metazoa; Chordata; Mammalia; Primates; Hominidae. The record is from RNAcentral.
UUCUGCUUUCCCUACACAGCAGCCAGCAUCCUGUCUGAGCCUGCAGGGGAGAAACAAUUUUAAAGUAAAAACUUCCAGAUAAGCAGGAUUCUCCCAUUUUACAAUGACUUCUGCUGCUCAUUUGACCCUUGUGCUUCUGUGGUGGAGCAUCUCUAUUUGACAGUGAUGGAACCUGAGACUCAGAGAGGGCAAGUGAGUGACUCAAGGCCACACAGCUGGGCAAGGGAAGCCAUACGCAGGACUCCAUCCACAGCUUGCUUUUGCCCCUCUACCCAGCUGGGUUCUGAGGCCAGGUCCUUGUCACAGUCCUCAAGCCUGGCUGGCACACAGCAGGGAAGGAAGAGUUUUCCAGCAGUUUCUGCAUGUCCCUUCCCUAAUGGGGACUAAGAAGGAGGGCUUAGUCCCUAAGCCAGGGAACUGAAAGUUCUGGCCACGGAAACCUCUAGAUUGAAGAGCACCAGCAGCUGAAGAGUGGGCCAGAGGUUUUGCAAGCUGCUGCCAGGCUGCCUGCUUUCUGGUGCUUAGAGAGGAAGGCUGACCUCGAAAGCCCUCACCGCAUCCAUGAAGCCUUACAAGACCUGGCCUCCGGCUACUUCUCCAGGCUCACUACCCCCACUCCACUCUCCCCUCCACUCUCUCAGCACUGCCACAUCGACUUCCUAAAGCCCGCCCAGCCUGCCCAGCCUUGAAGCUUCGUCAGCUCUGAUCGGCUGGCUUGGAAUUGCCCUUCCCAGACACCCUCUUGGCUCCCACUCACAUCCUCCCUUUCCCCAGUCCCUUCGGUGCCUCCAGACCUCCUGCAUGAUGGGCCUGUUCCUUCACCACUUGCCGUCACCCUGUGGGGUGGGUGUUGAGUUUCUUCUUCAUCACCUUGGUCAGUGCUGCAUGUUACUGUGUAGCCCUUGGUUGCUUCUCUCCCCUACCAGUGCCCAGAGGGCAUGAGCUCUCUUUUGUACUCUGUUAUAUCUCCAGUUCCUGGGGGUAGGCACCUGAUAAAAAUUUAGGGAAUGCAUACAUAGCCUAGAGGCCAAUUUCCCCUUUAGAUGUUGACUGUCCCUUUUCUCCAAGUAGGGAGAGUGGUGACGGGGCGUGGAGAGGCAGAGGGGAGAGAAGGAGCAGUGUUACCAGCGAGUCUGUCUGGCAAUGAUAUCUGCCUCAACCCCUUUUUGUCCCAGCGGUGUAGACGCAGGUCAGAUGACUUUCCAACUCUAUGCGGCUCUUGCCUGUCCCUCCAUCCCUGCUGCGGUGAACCUCUCAUCUGAGCCUCCCCAACAGUUUGUGCAAAGACUCCACUUAACGUUGGUCUGUUGACUGUCACGGGCAUCUGUGAGCCUCCUGUGCCUUCUUGUUUAACAACGAUCUCAGCUUGUGGCGAGGGAGUGGUGAUGGCACAGGGUAGAGCUGCCAGAGGGGUCAGCUUGGCCUGGGUUCGGGCUCAGGAGUGCCAGCUUCCUCGAGGAGUGGGAGGUCGGUCAUGCAAGGGAGAGCGUUGAGCCCAGGCCCCAGGAUAACUGAGACUGUUUGGAGGUGGUGUCCCCAACCCUCGCUUACGUGGGCGGGUCUCAGCGGGGCGAGGCUUAGCUUGCCUGCUGAGCCCUGCAAAUGCAGGUGAGGCGGCUCAAGCGUUUCCACCUGGACUGGCGUGGCGCUCAGGCCUCUGCGUCUCUCUCUUCCCGUGUAUGCAGAGUCAGCUGCCCUGCCCUCGUGGGUCUGUGUGUUUGUGAGCGUGUGUCUAUUCGUGCCAUGAGUGUGACACCUGUGGGUGUGUGCUUGUGUGAGCUGUGUCUGUGUACACCCUCACAUGUGUCUCUUUGUGGGGCUUUCUUCCAGGCCUGUGAUUCUAAAAUCAACACAACCAAAUCCACACUCGUCGCUGGCUUUCCCUGCCCUGCUGUGGAGCACAUGAACCCGGGGACGCAUUCGGCUUUCCUUUGAUAGGGGAAGGCAGCCCAAACAGCACCCAGACCAAGAGCCUGGAUCAGGGAUCCUGCUGCCUGAGACUUUCUAACUAGGCCAAGAAAUGAGGACACUGAACUACUUCUUCUUGAGAUGACGGAAUCUUGACCAGACCAGAGGGAGUGAGGUCUAUCUAUCCCACGAAGAAACUGAGAUGCAGCUUAUGAAAUAGAGGCUGACAAUGGCUCACCCACCUCCUUUGUAAGAGCCUGGUGUGUGCUACAGGAGCAUGGCCCAUAUACGUGUCAGGUUGAAGGACAACUCAGGAGCUGUCCAAGGCUCAACUUGGCCCCACUUGCCCCAUCUGGCAGCCUGGACCGAGCAUUGUUCAUUGAGUCCCACACCCACAUGGCCCCAGAGUCAAACCGCCUUUCAUGCUGAAGAAUGGAACUGACACUCCCAGCAACAUCUCCCCCAACCAUGCCCAUCUGUUAAUCCAACUUAAAAAGAAGGAAAAAAAAAUGACAAUGGAAAUGGAAA